CGCACGUUUUGGAUAAUUGUUGAGACAACGAGCAGCGACAAAGACUUGUUCCUCGAUUCAUAUACUCGUGUUGUUUUCUCCUGCAGUAAUUGAACGCUCGGUGUAAAAAUGGUUAUAGUUUCGAAAAAAGGUGAAUUGACAACAACGGUCACCGAAUCUGGCCGUGUGCUGAACAGCCUGGCCAGAAGCCGUUUGUUGAGAGCUGGAGUUCGCGUACCGUAUUAUAUCAAGGGUGAUCCAUCGUAUUCCUACACCCGUACCCAAACAGUCAAAGCAGGAGUUCGAACCGAAGUAUUGACCGAGGAAAAAUGGAAAGUGACUUAUUGAAAUGGGCGCUACAUUUGUAGUUGCACAGACUUGUCAUGCCAAGUAGUUUGCCGCUGAUCAUAAAAAUGUUUUCAACACACAAUUUACUAAAAUCAUGUCUCAACGCAUAGGAUUAAAUAUGUUCAAAAUUGAUUCGUUAAUUUCUAAUAAAUAAUAUUCACGAAUUAAAA
Long non-coding RNA from Sitodiplosis mosellana (orange wheat blossom midge), 497 nucleotides. RefSeq lists it as uncharacterized. The record is from RefSeq and is a predicted model, not a curated record. The transcript is spliced from 3 exons. NCBI's taxonomy places the organism in Eukaryota, Metazoa, Arthropoda, Insecta, Diptera, Cecidomyiidae.